Molecule: ribosomal RNA, 253 nt
Filed under: uncultured bacterium
Lineage: Bacteria
Description: partial 16S ribosomal RNA
Rfam family: Bacterial small subunit ribosomal RNA
Source: RNAcentral
UACAGAGGUCUCAACCGUUGUUCGGAUUCAUUGGGCGUAAAGGGUGCGUAGGCGGUCGCGUAAGUCGGAUGUGAAAUCUCAGGGCUCAACCCUGAAACUGCAUUCGAUACUGCGUGGCUAGGGUACUGGAGAGGAGACUGGAAUUUACGGUGUAGCAGUGAAAUGCGUAGAUAUCGGGAGGAAUACCGAUGGCGAAGGCAGGUCUCUGGGCUGACACUGACGCUCAUGCACGAAAGCGUGGGGAGCAAACAGG